Molecule: long non-coding RNA, 363 nt
Organism: Lemur catta (Ring-tailed lemur)
Lineage: Eukaryota; Metazoa; Chordata; Mammalia; Primates; Lemuridae
Exons: 3
Source: RefSeq, a predicted model, not a curated record
UCCAAAGGGCCUCCUUUCCCGUCAGCCUCUGCAGCUGCCUCUUCCUCCUCCUGCUCAGAAAAACCGGAAACCCCAGAGCAGUGCCAGGGUGGGCCACGCCGUGGGUGAAUUUCAACCCAGGGCCCUGUGCCACCCUGUCACCUCCAGGCUGUGGAUGAGACCCUGGGCAUUGAUGCAGCUUGUGGUGACCACAGUCGCUUCUAGGUGUGCCUCCCUGAGACUCAAACGCCUGUAUUCUGAGUCAUUUGGGGUGCUGACGAGAGCGGCAGGGGGCCUGCCGGAGCACGUACAAGAAUCCCCAAGGAAAAGGAAAUGUUGCAACCAGGGUCUCACUGUGUUACCCAGGCUGGUCUCAAACUCCUG